This 397-nucleotide ribosomal RNA is filed under the name Paranaitis kosteriensis. Its description in RNAcentral is "partial 16S ribosomal RNA". It matches the Rfam family "Bacterial large subunit ribosomal RNA", at positions 1986 to 2596 of the family's 2925-position model. Lineage: Eukaryota; Metazoa; Annelida; Polychaeta; Phyllodocida; Phyllodocidae. The record is from RNAcentral.
GCUGGAAUGAAUGGAUAUACGAGGUUUUUACUGUCUCGAUCUCAGGAAUAAAAAUUGGUUUUCAGGUGAAGAAACCUGAAUUUUAAUGAAGGACAAAAAGACCCUAUUGAGCUUUACUUUUAUAAAAAUAUUUGUUAGAAUUAUUUUAUUUAUUUAUUUUUUAAAAGUUUGGUUGGGGCAACAAAGAAAUAUAUAAAUUUUUCUUUAUUUAUUAGAACUAUAGUUCGUUUUAAGUGAUCUAUUAGGAUGAUAAGGAGAAAGAGUUACCAUAGGGAUAACAGGCUAAUUCUUUUGUAGAGUUCAAAUUGAUAAAAGAGUUUGGCACCUCGAUGUUGGCUUAGGGUAUCCUUUAGGUGUAGAAGUCUAUAAGGGUUGGUUUGUUCAACCAUUAAAAUCC